Molecule: ribosomal RNA, 206 nt
Filed under: uncultured bacterium
Lineage: Bacteria
Description: partial 16S ribosomal RNA
Rfam family: Bacterial small subunit ribosomal RNA
Source: RNAcentral
CUCAGUUCGGAUCGGAGUCUGCAACCCGACUCCGUGAAGCUGGAUUCGCUAGUAAUCGCGCAUCAGCCAUGGCGCGGUGAAUACGUUCCCGGGCCUUGUACACACCGCCCGUCAAGCCAUGGAAGCCGGGGGCGCUUGAAGUGCGUUGCCGCAAGGCGCGCCCUAGAGCGAAACCGGUGACUGGGGCUAAGUCGUAACAAGGUACC